AAAUAGAACUUUGCAGAGAGAGUUAAGAGGGCGUGAACCGUUAAUUGGCAAACGAAUCGGAGCCACGAAGUCGUUUCGUUGUUAAUCGGGCGGAGUUCAGUUAGCGUUGAAAGGCGCUGGCGUAUUCUCGCUGCUCGAUCAACCUUGUAAGCGUACACUGCAACCAGUUAGACCAUCAGCCAUGGGCUGAGUGUCUUGCAGUGAGCAAUCACUGCUUGGCACGCAUUGUAUGUUUGCUCGCGGUAGUAGUAGCGCGGUUGCAUCUCGGUGCUUCUCGUGUUGCUGGCCGCGGUGCGAGUGAACUAUGGCUGAAUACUGACUGGCGAAAUGAAAAUCUUCUUCAAUGAAGUUAGAGAAAGAGCGGUUGUGCCGCAUGCGUAGCUACACGCUCGACUGUCGAGUCUAAGCUUGGCGUCUUUGAAUUCAGACUUGCUUGCUACCAGUGGGGCAACUCCUGGUGCUUGUACAGCUUCUGUCUAAUCGGGCGUCGACUUGGCGCGGCAUCGUUCGCGGCGUGAACCGCUGGGUUGUGCAUGCGAGCUAACUCGCAAUUUGAAUUGGCAGUGAGUAGGUCGGCUUUCCGAACGACCCGUCUUGAAACACGGACCAAGGAGUCUAAUUAGGCAUCGAGUCGAUCGGUCUUGAUAGGCCAGACUGGAGAUCUCUCGAGAACUCCAUUGAAGGCGUAAAGAAAUCAAAUCGUGUGAUCGCUCUGGCAACAACAGCCAUUGCGCGCAACAUGUGCCUGUUCGUAUAGCAAUUGUUAGCAAUAACUUGCUGGGCGGAGCAAAGAGAUGCCCGAUUGGGACCCGAAAGAUGGUGAACUAUGCUUGGGCAAAUUGAAGCCAGAGGAAACUCUGGUGGAGGAUUGUAGCGAUUCUGACGUGCAAAUCGAUCGUCAGACCUGAGUAUAGGGGCGAAAGACUAAUCGAACCAUC
This 938-nucleotide ribosomal RNA is filed under the name Tetra sp. 28sd2-5r22. RNAcentral's name for it is "partial 28S ribosomal RNA". It matches the Rfam family "Eukaryotic large subunit ribosomal RNA", at positions 366 to 944 of the family's 3401-position model. Lineage: Eukaryota; Metazoa; Arthropoda; Arachnida; Trombidiformes; Eriophyidae. The record is from RNAcentral.